RNAcentral lists this ribosomal RNA (248 nucleotides) under uncultured bacterium. RNAcentral describes it as "partial small subunit ribosomal RNA". It matches the Rfam family "Bacterial small subunit ribosomal RNA", at positions 26 to 288 of the family's 1533-position model. The record is from RNAcentral.
AGAAUCAACGCUGGCGGCGUGUCUAACACAUGCAAGUCGCACGAGAAAGGGGAGCAAUCCCUGAGUACAGUGGCGCACGGGUGAGUAACACGUGAAUCAUCUACCUCCGAGUGGGGAAUAACUGAGAGAAAUCUUAGCUAAUACCGCAUAAUACCCACGGGUCAAAGCAGUAAUGCGCUUGGAGAGGAGUUCGCGGCAGAUUAGUUAGUUGGCGGGGUAAUGGCCCACCAAGACGAUGAUCUGUAUCC